UAGAGUUUGAUUCUGGCUCGAUUGAACGCGGCGGCAUGCCUUACACAUGCAAGUCGAACGGCGCACGGGGGCAACCCUGGUGGCGAGUGGCGAACGGUGAGUAAUAUAUCGGAACGUGCCUGGAGUGGGAUAACGUAGGAAAGUUACGCUAAUCCGCAUACGAUCUACGGAUGAAAGUGGGGGAUGCAAGACCUCAUGCUCGUGGAGCGGCCAUAUCUGAUUAGUAGUUGUAGGGUAAAAGCCUACCAAGGCAUCGAUCAGUAGCUGGUCUGAGAGGACGCCAGCCACACUGGGACUGAGACACGGCCCAGACUCCUCGGGAGGCGCAGUGGGGAAUUUUGGACAAUGGGGGCAACCCUGAUCCAGCAAUGCCGCGUGAGUGAAGAAGGCCUUCGGGUUGUAAACUCUCUUGUCGGGAAGAAACGGUUCUGGUUAAUCCUGGGGCUAAUGACGGUACCGGAAGAAUAAGCACCGGCUGACUACUGCCGCCGCCGCGGAAUUC
RNAcentral lists this ribosomal RNA (502 nucleotides) under uncultured Herbaspirillum sp. RNAcentral describes it as "bacterial SSU rRNA". It matches the Rfam family "Bacterial small subunit ribosomal RNA", at positions 1 to 525 of the family's 1533-position model. The record is from RNAcentral. Lineage: Bacteria; Pseudomonadati; Pseudomonadota; Betaproteobacteria; Burkholderiales; Oxalobacteraceae.